GCGGAUAUGGCGGAACUGGCAGACGCACCAGAUUUAGGUUCUGGCGGGAAACCGUGCAGGUUCAAGUCCUGUUAUCCGCA
This 80-nucleotide transfer RNA is filed under the name Lachnospiraceae bacterium. RNAcentral describes it as "tRNA-Leu". It matches the Rfam family "tRNA". From Rfam's summary of the family: Transfer RNA (tRNA) molecules are approximately 80 nucleotides in length. Their secondary structure includes four short double-helical elements and three loops (D, anti-codon, and T loops). Lineage: Bacteria; Bacillati; Bacillota; Clostridia; Lachnospirales; Lachnospiraceae. The record is from RNAcentral.